This 1390-nucleotide long non-coding RNA is filed under the name Trifolium pratense (red clover). RNAcentral describes it as "long non-coding RNA (TPRA_LNC009702)". Lineage: Eukaryota; Viridiplantae; Streptophyta; Magnoliopsida; Fabales; Fabaceae. The record is from RNAcentral.
UAUUAUUCAUACUUCAUUAUUGUCUUGUCUAGCAGUUAGGAAAGGAAUGAAUCCUACACUAUUAUACAACUUGCAAUUUAUUUUCAUUUACUCCAUAAUGAUGAAACCGUAAACCCUGUGUCCCUAUCUUCUUGAAUAAAUUGAAAGACAUGGGGAUAACCAAGCCUAUUAAACAAAAUUUCUAUCUCAUCAAUUUGAGGAUAUCUGCCUAACAAACAAAUAACAGAGAUGAAGCCUACCUUAUCAUUUCAAGUGACCACAAAGCUUUGUUAUGAAUUUUAUUCUCCUCCAAUCUAAUUUGUUAGCAUCUCAACAGAUAGUUCUUCGUUUUCAACCUUGGAUCGUGGAACCAAACUUUGGAACGAGAGAUAUCGUGUGUAAACUAUAGUUGCGAAUUUAGCCUUGUAUUGUUCUCAGAAGGAAAGCGUCUAAGGUAAGAGUUUUUUCCCCAUAAAUUCAUACUACGUAAGGGUUGUGUUGUGAAGUGGUAAUAGGGCAUUUAUCUUUUAAAAGAAAUAAUUAAAAAUAAACUAAUAGAAAGAAACUAGUUUUGUUUGAAGUGUGUUAUCGUUUGAGAAGUGAGUUGACGAUGAUUUGAUUAUGAUAUAUUUAGUUUGUGGUUUGUUAAAAUCCAUUAAAAGUUCAUUAUAUAAAUCAAGGGAAAUAUGAAUAAAAGUAUAGAGAGGAUUAAGUUAUCCGUUCUUGUCGCUAGUCAUAUUGAUUUAGUGUAGAAAAGGACUAUAUUCAAAAUAUCUGAUUUAGAAUUGACAUAGUUGAAUCAAAUUUAAUGGAGUUGAUACUUAUAAGGCGUGUGAUUAUGCCGUUGUAUUAAUAAUAAAUUGCCGUUGUUGCCUUGAUUCCGCUGGUGGCCGAUUAGCUGCCGUUUGUCGUGUUGCUACGGUGGUAGUUGAACUGCCAUUUGUCGUAUUGUCCUUGUUGUUGUUAUGAGUUGUUUCAUUUUAUUAAUUGUUGAGUUGAUAUGCAUAUGGUUGGUCGUCUAAGAGAGAUAGUUUGCCAUUAUGUGCCCAAUUGUUUAUCUGUUGAGAAGUUAUUCGACUACUUUUUCAUGGAAAAUAAAUAAUUAUAUAUUUUUUUUUAGAAAUCUUUUGAUUGAUGAAGUGUUUUGUUAUUAUUUUAUGACAUUUUUCUUAUGGUGAGUAUGAUUCAAUUUGGAUAAGGAAAUUGACCCUUACAAUUAACAUUUUAGGUACUCAAGGAGAUGAUCAUGAUUGGUGCUUUUGCUUGAUGCGUGCGUGGGGAUAAACAAUUGGGGGGUUUUUAUUAACUUGUAAUUUAAAUGAAAUAUUGUAUCAUUGUAUAAGUAUUACUUGUAAUCGCAGAUAAUUAUUCUUUUUUACGAAAAUAAGAAUUUAGUCAUACUCUUUAAGGA